RNAcentral lists this ribosomal RNA (234 nucleotides) under uncultured Glomus. RNAcentral describes it as "partial 18S ribosomal RNA". It matches the Rfam family "Eukaryotic small subunit ribosomal RNA", at positions 548 to 785 of the family's 1831-position model. Lineage: Eukaryota; Fungi; Glomeromycota; Glomeromycetes; Glomerales; Glomeraceae. The record is from RNAcentral.
UUGGAGGGCAAGUCUGGUGCCAGCAGCCGCGGUAAUUCCAGCUCCAAUAGCGUAUAUUAAAGUUGUUGCAGUUAAAGAGCUCGUAGUUGAAUUUCGAGACCGGCUUACUGGUCGUGCUAUUGUGCGUACUGGUAUAAUCGGUUUCUCCUUUCUGACGAACUAUAAUGCCAUUAAUUUGGUGUUAUAGGGAAUCAGGACUGUUACUUUGAAAAAAUUAGAGUGUUUAAAGCAGGC